This 445-nucleotide ribosomal RNA is filed under the name uncultured bacterium. RNAcentral's name for it is "partial 16S ribosomal RNA". It matches the Rfam family "Bacterial small subunit ribosomal RNA", at positions 354 to 796 of the family's 1533-position model. The record is from RNAcentral.
GUGAGGAAUAUUGGACAAUGGGCGCAAGUCUGAUCCAGCCAUGCCGCGUGCAGGAAGACGCAUCUAUGGUGUGUAAACUGCUUUUGUACGGGAAGAAACACUCCCUCGUGAGGGAGCUUGACGGUACCGUAAGAAUAAGGAUCGGCUAACUCCGUGCCAGCAGCCGCGGUAAUACGGAGGAUCCAAGCGUUAUCCGGAAUCAUUGGGUUUAAAGGGUCCGUAGGCGGUUUAAUAAGUCAGUGGUGAAAGCCCAUCGCUCAACGAUGGAACGGCCAUUGAUACUGUUAGACUUGAAUUACAAGGAAGUAACUAGAAUAUGUAGUGUAGCGGUGAAAUGCUUAGAUAUUACAUGGAAUACCAAUUGCGAAGGCAGGUUACUACUUGUGGAUUGACGCUGAUGGACGAAAGCGUGGGGAGCGAACAGGAUUAGAUACCCCGGUAGUCC